GAAGGCACGACAUUGCUCACAUUGCUUCCAGUAUUUCUUAGCCAGCAUUUUUGCUGGCUUUUUUUU
Molecule: small RNA, 66 nt
Organism: Shimwellia blattae
Lineage: Bacteria; Pseudomonadati; Pseudomonadota; Gammaproteobacteria; Enterobacterales; Enterobacteriaceae
Source: Rfam